GCAUAGGGUCACAGGGUGAAUUUCACUUGUUCACUCUGUAACCUCAUUAAAAGUAGGCUUUUCCAAGCUAAAUUAUAACAAGCAAGAAGCAGCUUUCUGAGGCCAGCAUGUGGCAUGGCCAAAUAUGAUGGAAGAGUGACACAAAGAAGCAACCAGUGGUGACAGCCAGCUUCUCCAGUGGGAAAACAAAUGCUCUUUUAGGAGUUGGACAUCAUGAUCUCUGGAGAAGUUCCAGAAAGGGUGUCUAUAAUAGCCAGUGAGGCUGGAACAG
This is a long non-coding RNA of Mastomys coucha (southern multimammate mouse), 271 nucleotides long. RefSeq lists it as uncharacterized. The transcript has 3 exons. The record is from RefSeq and is a predicted model, not a curated record. Lineage: Eukaryota; Metazoa; Chordata; Mammalia; Rodentia; Muridae.